GGACAUAAAGAGGCUUCUGUCACUCAGUUCAUUAGCAAGGUUGAUUUGGCUGAUCUGGCUGAUCUGGCUGGCUAGGCUGGUGCCCCUUCUUCUUUCACUGUUCCAUGUGUGUACUUCCAAAAACCUGUAGGUCCAUGUGACGAUCACAACCUUAACUGAUGGAGGAGCAUUAUUCUUCCAUCAAGGGCAGAUGAAAAGUUGGGGUCCCAAACCUCUGAACAAGCUCUCAUGCUCCAUCGUUUUGUAAUAGUGUCACAGGCUUGUGACUAAUCGUUGAUAUAUAGAAACUUGGAUCCAAAUUAU
RNAcentral lists this small nuclear RNA (303 nucleotides) under Mus caroli (Ryukyu mouse). RNAcentral's name for it is "sRNA (MGP_CAROLIEiJ_G0008739.1)". It matches the Rfam family "7SK RNA". Rfam says of the family: 7SK was discovered as an abundant small nuclear RNA in the mid-70s but a possible function has only recently been suggested. Two independent studies have found that 7SK RNA binds the CDK9/cyclin T complex (known as elongation factor P-TEFb). The record is from RNAcentral. Lineage: Eukaryota; Metazoa; Chordata; Mammalia; Rodentia; Muridae.